Molecule: ribosomal RNA, 253 nt
Filed under: uncultured bacterium
Lineage: Bacteria
Description: partial 16S ribosomal RNA
Rfam family: Bacterial small subunit ribosomal RNA
Source: RNAcentral
UACGUAGGGGGCAAGCGUUGUCCGGAUUUAUUGGGCGUAAAGAGCGUGUAGGCGGUUUGGUAGGUCCGCUGUGAAGACUCGAGGCUCAACCUCGAGACGCCGGUGGAAACCAUCAGACUAGAGUCCGGAAGAGGAGAGUGGAAUUCCUGGUGUAGCGGUGAAAUGCGCAGAUAUCAGGAAGAACACCCGUGGCUAAGGCGGCUCUCUAGUACGGUACUGACGCUGAGACGCGAAAGCGUGGGGAGCGAACAGG